This 293-nucleotide ribosomal RNA is filed under the name uncultured bacterium. Its description in RNAcentral is "partial 16S ribosomal RNA". It matches the Rfam family "Bacterial small subunit ribosomal RNA", at positions 775 to 1067 of the family's 1533-position model. The record is from RNAcentral.
GGAUUAGAUACCCUGGUAGUCCACGCCGUAAACGAUGUCUAUUAGGAGUCUGUGGCUUUAAGUCGUGGGUUCCAAAGCUAACGCAUUAAAUAGACCGCCUGGGGAGUACGGCCGCAAGGUUAAAACUCAAAUGAAUUGACGGGGGCCCGCACAAGCGGUGGAGCAUGUGGUUUAAUUCGAUGCAACGCGAAGAACCUUACCUACUCUUGACAUCCAGCGAACUUGGCAGAGAUGCCUUGGUGCCUUCGGGAACGCUGAGACAGGUGCUGCAUGGCUGUCGUCAGCUCGUGCCG